This 422-nucleotide ribosomal RNA is filed under the name Acteocina lepta. Its description in RNAcentral is "partial 16S ribosomal RNA". It matches the Rfam family "Bacterial large subunit ribosomal RNA", at positions 1810 to 2603 of the family's 2925-position model. The record is from RNAcentral. Lineage: Eukaryota; Metazoa; Mollusca; Gastropoda; Cephalaspidea; Cylichnidae.
AAAACAUAGCCCUAAGAAAAAAUUUAGGGUGAAGCCUGCCCUAUGAGAAAUUAAAUGGCCGCGGUACUCUGACCGUGCUAAGGUAGCAUAAUCAAUUGACUUUUAAAUGAAGUCUGGAAUGAAGGGAAAAACGGAAUUUAGCUGUCUCAUCAAUUUUAUGACGAAUUUACUAACUAGGUGAAAAGGCCUAGGAACGUUAAAAGACGAGAAGACCCUAGGAGUUUCUCAAAUGUUUUGUUGGGGCGACAAGGAAUCAUAUAACAUUCCAUAUUUAAUAAGACGAAUUUGGUAAGUAUAGAAAAACUACCCUAGGGAUAACAGCAUAAUCCUUAUUGGGUUUGUGACCUCGAUGUUGGACUAGGAAGUUCUCAGGCUAGUCGCUUGAUGAAAGGCUUCUGUUCGAAGUUUUAUCUCCUACGUGA